AAAAAGAAAAAAGCAGCUUGCAAUCCCACUGCGGCAGCAGAUGAAAGGCAGCAGGAUGUUCUGGAAACUGUCGUCGGGGAGUGGGGACUGCAUCCUGGCUGUUAACUCCCCUUCAUUCCAUCCUGCCGGUGCAUUCACUGCACACCACCACCAUGGCCUCACAGAAAACUCAGCGUAAGUACCAGGGUGUGGACACAAGGAGAAAUCUCUGGCCUGUGAGUCUCACACUGAGGACGGUCUCCGGUUGCAGGCAGGGACUUUCGCUUCUCGCAGGCGGAGUCUGCAGUUCACUGCAGGACUCCUGAUGCCACAUCUGGGCCAUGUCUGGGUGGUGGGCUGUCCCAGGCCCAUCUGUCCUCUCUACUCUCCUCAGGCCUGGCUCCAGGGUGGAAAGGAAACCCUAAAACUGCACUUGUUCUUGGCUGAAGCUUAUAAUCCCAGCACUCUAGGAGGCUAAGGCAGGAUUGUAAAUCGAGCCCAGCCUGGGUAGUUUAACAAUUUAUGAAGACCCUGUCUGAAGCCAGGCGUGGUAAUCCCUGCACUCAGGAAGCUGAGGCAGGCAGAUCACCCUGAGUCAAGGCCAACACCAGCUCGUGGGCCCCAAGGCCCCAACAAGGACCCUCACCCACCCUUUUUUUGGGGGGGGCUUUUUGAGACAAGGUCUUACUAAGUAGUUGAGACUGACCUGGAAUUCACUAUGUAGCCUAGGCUGGUCUGGAACUCACAGUGACCCUCCUGCCUCAGCCUCCUGAGUGCUGGGAUUACAGGCUUGCACCACCAUGCCUGGCCUCACGCACUCUUUUUUGCAGGUGUGCGCACUCCCAUCCCGGAAACAGUGCUCGGAUUUGUUAGAGACGGAGAUGCAGGAUGCUCUGAAGAGCAGAGUGCGGUCUCAGAGCAGGGAGCAGGUGCUAAAGUGGAGCUCAGUGGUCCAGGAGGCGGCCCUGGGUUGGACCCCCAGAACCCCAAGAAACAACAGCAAGAAACAAAGCCGGGCGUGGUGUCACACGGCUGUAAUCCCAGCACUCAGGAGGCUGAGGCAGGAGGAUCCCUGUGAGUUCAAGACCAACCUAGCUACAUAGUGAAUUCCAGGUCAGUCUCAACUACACAGAGACCCUGUCUCAAAAAAAAAAAAAAAAAAAAAAAAAAAGCAAGAAACAUUCAAAAGCGUGUCCCUAGGACCAGCUAGCAAAAAGGCAAAACCACUGCCGUUAGAACUUGGUUACUGGGCUCUGAGCUCUCUGCGACUAAGGGCAGGGAUGGGUCCAGGUCUGGAACCUGGGGAAGCGGGAAGCAGGGGCUGCGGGCUAAGCUCGGCCCCUCCUCUCUCAAAGUCCACCCUGGGCCCGCUCUGCCUGCUGCGGGCUUCGCGACCCUGGCUGCACCACGACGCCCUGCACCGGUCCUCGCUGGGUGCCCACGACCUGGCUCGGGCUCACUGUCCCUGCGCGUCUCCCCUGCAGUGAUCGGACCCCAGCCCCAGCCCGAUCUCGGGUGAGAGCAGAAAGAACGUUAGGGACGCACCGGUGACCGGCCGAGUGGGGCCUGCGCACCUCCCGAGCCUGCAAAACCGGGCUCACGAAUGCACGCGCCCAUCCACGUGCAACAGCG
Fukomys damarensis (Damara mole-rat) is the source of this 1611-nucleotide long non-coding RNA. The record is from Ensembl. Lineage: Eukaryota; Metazoa; Chordata; Mammalia; Rodentia; Bathyergidae.